Molecule: ribosomal RNA, 389 nt
Filed under: uncultured bacterium
Lineage: Bacteria
Description: bacterial SSU rRNA
Rfam family: Bacterial small subunit ribosomal RNA
Source: RNAcentral
GACGAACGCUGGCGGCGUGCUUAACACAUGCAAGUCGAGCGGUAAGGCCCUUUCGGGGGUACGACGAGCGGCGAACGGGUGAGUAACACGUGGGUGACCUGCCCUCAACUCUGGGAUAAGCCUGGGAAACCGGGUCUAAUACUGGAUAUGACUCCAUGACGCAUGUUGUGGGGUGGAAAGCCUUGUGCGGCUGAGGAUGGGCCCGCGGCCUAUCAGCUUGUUGGUGGGGUGAUGGCCUACCAAGGCGACGACGGGUAGCCGGCCUGAGAGGGCGACCGGCCACACUGGGACUGAGACACGGCCCAGACUCCUACGGGAGGCAGCAGUGGGGAAUCUUGCGCAAUGGGCGAAAGCCUGACGCAGCGACGCCGCGUGAGGGAUGACGGCCU